CCUAUUUUCGUGUGGAGUUCUUAUAUCUGGAAGAAAAGUUAUUAAAAAAAAAAUUAUACGCUUGAAUCAUCCUGUAUUAAUGCUCAGUUUUUCAAUGCAUAAUUUUAUAUUUUACAAGAUCAAACAAGAACAAAUUUAUUGUUAUGCCCCCCUUCGAAGAAGAGGGGGUAUAUUGCUUUGCACAUGUCGGUCGGUCGGUCUGUCGGUCGGUCCGUCCACCAGGUGGUUUCCGGAUGAUAACUCAAGAACGCUUAGGCCUAGGAUCAUGACACUUCAUAGGUACAUUGAUCAUGACUCGCAGAUGACCCCUAUUGAUUUUGAGUUCACUAAGUCAAAGGUCAAGGUCACUGUGACCCGAAAUAGUAAAAUGGUUUCCGGAUGAUAAUUCAAGAACGCUUAUGCCUAGGAUCAUGAAACUUGAUAGGUAGAUUGAUCAUGACUCGCAGAUGACCCCUAUUGAUUUUCAGGUCACUAGGUCAAAGGUCAAGGUCACGGUGACCCGAAAUAGUAAAAUGGUUUCCGGAUGAUAACUCAAAAACGCUUAGGCCUAGGAUCAUGAAACUUGAUAGGUAGAUUGACCAUGACUCGCAGAUGACCCCUAUUGAUUUUGAGGUCACUAGGUCAAAGGUCAAGGUCACGGUGACCCGAAAUAUUAAAAUGGUUUCCGGAUGAUAACUCAAGAACGCUUAUGCCUAGGAUCAUGAAACUUGAUAGGUAGAUUGCUCAUGACUCGCAGAAGACCCCUAUUGAUUUUCAGGUCACUAGGUCAAAGGUCAAGGUCACGGUGACCCGAAAUAGUGAAAUGGUUUCCGGAUGAUAACUCAAGAACGCUUAUGCCUAGGAUCAUGAAACUUCAUAGGUACAUUGAUCAUGACUGGCAGAUGACCCCUAUUGAUUUUCAGGUCACUAGGUCAAAGGUCAAGGUCACAGUGACAAAACAACAUAUUUACAAAAUGGCUGUCACUACAACUGAGAGCCCAUAUGGGGGGCAUGCAUGUUUUACAAACAGCCCUUGUUGGAAUAUCCUUUUAUCUAUUUAUGCCUUUUCUUGUUCCUCAACUGGCCUGUUCACCAAUCAAAUGAAUAUUUGCAAAAAGCAGAAUCCAACAAUGUUUCCUGCUCAUUAAUGUAUGUAAGUUAUGCACACUGAUAGACGUUAUAUGUUGAGCCAUAUCUCGGUAAAAUCAUGUGAAUAAUGCAAUAAGUAAAUUGUGUUGUUGUACAUUUAGCUUUAGUAUCAGUUUUUGCACUGGCUAUUGAUGAAGUACAUUGUAUCUUCCUACAUACAGCCAACCAGUCCCAGCCAGUCCUACACAUACAGCCAACCAGUCCCAGUCAGUCCUACACAUACAGCCAACCAGUCCCAGUCAGUCCUACACAUACAGCCAACCAGUCCCAGCCAGUCCUCUAUACAGCCAACCAGUCCCAGCCAGUCCUACAUACAGCCAACCAGUCCCAGCCAGUCCUACCCAGAGCUGAAUUGUACAAACUGCUGUCAUCAAAGUUGCCUUAAUCGUUCCCCAGUGAUCUCUUCUUAACAAGUACAUAAAAAUGAUAUAAUUGUGUAGUUUCCUUUAAAGACCCAGCCAGAUGUCCGUGUACAACUGCUUUUGUCCUAACCACACCCCUGCAAUAAUUCAGGAGGGCAAAUAAAGUACAUGUUAAUGAAAUUUACAUAUUCUGCAGGUGCCAGUUGAGGGAAAAACUUUUUGAAAAGGUUGACAGUACUUUUCCUUAUAUAAAUGUACUAAAACCUUUCAAUUUCUUCUUGCGUAGAACUGCAAAGCCUAGAGGAUUGGUAUUUGGAAUGUAACAUCACAUACCUAUGGUGUUUCUCAAUCAAGUUUGUUUAAAAAACUGGCCACUCCCAGGGGUCACCAGAUUGAUAUAGAUUUAUUUGCAAAUAACUUUCAAGUAUUCAUACAUUAAACUGAAAGGAUUAUGGGUUUGAUAUAAGAUGUACAGUAUUGUAUAGUGGUUCUCUACUAAGUUUUAUCAAAUCAAGCCCUUGGGGUCAAAAUUAGCCCUACCCUCAGGGUAACUUGUUAUGUUUUUGAGAAAAAAUUAAUUAAUCAGUUCUAAAACUAUCUCACGCCAUAUCAAAUCUGCUAAUAUUUCAUGCACUGGAAUAUUUUUGCAACUUUUUAAACUGCCAGUUUUAUCCAAAACUACAAAUAAUUGUGAACUAACGGAUUAUUUCAAAUGCAAAAGAUGACAAUUUUACCCCCCACAAAAUUGAACUGUGCAGACUGUAGCUGUAUACACUUGAAUAAACUACUAUAAAUGCAAACAUCGGCCAUUAAGAAACAAAAACACAGGACUAUGUUUCGUAGACACUACGUUAAAUAGAAUUGUUAUUGCUUGUGGUGCUUUGACUAUUUAUGCAUGUAUUCAGCUUGUAUUAUAGGAUUUCCACCAUUCCAUGUUGAUUUGUUUUGUAUUGAAAAAGAUGCGAUUUUUAAUUUAUCACUUUUAAUUGGUCAGUUUUUGAGUUUUCGUUUUUCAUGUGCCCAUUAAUGAGUGGAAAUUCUGACUUCAUCUAUGAUGUUAUAUUUAAAGCUAGCCAUUUGGAGCUUAAAGCCAUACACACAUCAGAAAGACAUAGUGUUGUUAAUUGACUGAUUAAUAAUGAUACUACAAACAUAAUUUUCAAUUAUAAAAUGGUUUAACAUAAUAAUGCAAUUUUAAUGUGAAAUACUUUUGUUAGGGUCCCCAUCCAGACACAGGACUAAUUUAUAUGUGGCUUAGCUAUUAUAAGUGUGGUCUUUUGCAAUAGAAAAUUUUGAGUACAAUUGAAUUAUGUUUGAAACAUACAUGUGUACAUCUUUGAUGUUGCAGUUAUUUUAUGAGUAUGGUCUUGUAUACUGUAGUCAAUAAAUUUGCUUGAUAUGGACUUGUUUUUUAAUAGAAUCAUGUUUUUUUUAAUAAAUAAAACUUAUUACAUCCA
This is a long non-coding RNA of Dreissena polymorpha, 2947 nucleotides long. RefSeq lists it as uncharacterized. The record is from RefSeq and is a predicted model, not a curated record. The transcript is spliced from 2 exons. Lineage: Eukaryota; Metazoa; Mollusca; Bivalvia; Myida; Dreissenidae.